This 485-nucleotide ribosomal RNA is filed under the name uncultured bacterium. RNAcentral describes it as "bacterial SSU rRNA". It matches the Rfam family "Bacterial small subunit ribosomal RNA", at positions 17 to 518 of the family's 1533-position model. The record is from RNAcentral.
UUCUGGCUCAGGACGAACGCUGGCGGCGUGCUUAACACAUGCAAGUCGAGCGAUGAAGCUUCUUCGGAAGUGGAUUAGCGGCGGACGGGUGAGUAACACGUGGGUAACCUGCCUCAUAGAGGGGAAUAGCCUUCCGAAAGGAAGAUUAAUACCGCAUAAGAUUGUAAUAUCGCAUGAUAUAGCAAUUAAAGGAGUAAUCCGCUAUGAGAUGGACCCGCGUCGCAUUAGCUAGUUGGUGAGGUAACGGCUCACCAAGGCGACGAUGCGUAGCCGACCUGAGAGGGUGAUCGGCCACAUUGGGACUGAGACACGGCCCAGACUCCUACGGGAGGCAGCAGUGGGGAAUAUUGCACAAUGGGGGAAACCCUGAUGCAAGCAACGCCGCGUGAGUGAUGACGGUCUUCGGAUUGUAAAGCUCUGUCUUCAGGGACGAUAAUGACGGUACCUGAGGAGGAAGCCACGGCUAACUACGUGCCAGCCGCCGC